ACUGACAGCUUUAAUUUCGAAAACUCGCUGCUUCUGGGGGAAUUUCGGAGUCUAAAAGUCUGAAAAUCGGCUCAGUUCUGCUUUGAGUGUCAUGAAAAUGUCUUCCUGUCUUUUUGAUUUGGCACACAACUAGACA
This is a long non-coding RNA of Etheostoma spectabile (orangethroat darter), 136 nucleotides long. RefSeq lists it as uncharacterized. The transcript is spliced from 3 exons. The record is from RefSeq and is a predicted model, not a curated record. NCBI's taxonomy places the organism in Eukaryota, Metazoa, Chordata, Actinopteri, Perciformes, Percidae.